Molecule: transfer RNA, 89 nt
Filed under: Actinomycetaceae bacterium
Lineage: Bacteria; Bacillati; Actinomycetota; Actinomycetes; Actinomycetales; Actinomycetaceae
Also listed under: 3 other names
Description: tRNA-Ser
Rfam family: tRNA
About the family: Transfer RNA (tRNA) molecules are approximately 80 nucleotides in length. Their secondary structure includes four short double-helical elements and three loops (D, anti-codon, and T loops).
Source: RNAcentral
GGUAGCGUGUCCGAGCGGCCGAAGGUGCAGCACUCGAAAUGCUGUGUGGUUAAUAGCCACCGUGGGUUCAAAUCCCACCGCUACCGCCA